GCGAAGAGUUCUUUUGACAGCCGUGAGCUUCCCCGGCAGGAACUUACUGGGGCUGCAUCACCCUAGAAACAUGGCUUUGGGCUGUGGAAACGCUGCUGCCGUGGAAGUCUCUCCUCGCGGGGGUGGACGGGGCGCUGCGCGCCCAGCGUCCUUCUGCGGUUCUCCCAGCCCGUCGCCGCCUCCACCUCGGGGACCUUUGCGGGGAGGCCUCGGGUCAGCCCCGCCCUUGGGAUGGCGGGAGAGCAAAGCGGACCCAGGGCCUCUGAGCUCCGGCCCCGACACGUCCCGCCGUCUCCUCCGCUUGCGGGAGCCGGGGCGCCUCGGAGGGAAACGUCCGGACACAGGCCGGGGGAAGAGGGGCCGUGGCGCCAUCGCGCAGCUUCCUGGUUUCGGCCAUGUUUUUUUUUUUUUUUUUGAGACGGAGUUUCGCUCUUUUUGCCCAGGCUGGAGGGCAAUGGCGCCAUCUCGGCUCCCUGCAGCCCCCGCCUCCCGGGUUGAAGGGACUCUCCGGCCUCAGGCCGCGGCGUUUUUGUAAACUGGAACCGGCCUGUGCGCCAAGCGCGGCUCCCGCGGCUGCGGAGAGAGGCCCAGCAGGGGGCGGGGACGCCGCGAGGCGGGGCCUGGCCGAGCUGCGCACGCCCGGGUGGUUCUGGCUACGGGUACCCGGACCUGCCCAACGACAGUUCUCCAUUCCCGACCUCCGCACCCUACCCGGUCCGCAGGGCACUUUCCUCCUCUCUCCCAGGCACGUCCUCGACCUCAGUUGCCACGUGCACAUGCUGGUGCCUUCCAGGUCGGUCUUUCUCCACCAGUCUCCACCUGCAACUUUCUUCCUUUUCGUCCUGUGCUGGCCUAACCCCUGCUCGGCCUCGGCCCUCAGCUGCCAGCUCUAACAAUGCCUCUGUCUUUCCGAGACCCCCGUGACCAGCUCAGGCUCUGCUCCCUGCUUCCCUCCCCGCCUCCCCGGGGCUUCCCCAUCAGUGUGGAUUCCGACCUCAUAAGGACCAGUCUAACGCUCUCUGCUGGAUGGAAGCGCAAAACGGACCCUCUCACUCUUGCCUUAUCCCCAGCACCAAGGAGGGGCUCAGAGUGGGACUGGUGGCUUCUUAAGAAGAGAAAGAGACCUGAGGAAGCACACUGAACCCCUCACCAUAUGAUGCCCUGUACCACCCCGAGACCGCAGCGUCCCCACCAGCAAGAAGUUUCAGGUAUUCUGUUAUAAGCAACAGAAAACAAAGUAAGAUAGGCACCUAGGCUUUGCCAUCCCCUAACGUCCUAAGAAAGGGGAAAGAAAAUGGGGGCGCAUGAAGAGGACAUAGUCAUGGACCUAGCAUGCUGGAGUAUACUGGCAUGAUCAUAGAUCACUGCAGCCUCAAACUCCUGGGCUCAAGCGAUCCUCCUACCUCAGCCUCCAUAUAGCUGGUGGGAACCAAGUUUCUAACACAUGAAUGUUGGGAGACACAUUCAGACCAUCGCAGUGGCCUUAUAAAAAGAGACACAAGAGCUUGCUCUCUGCCAUGUGAGUAUACCACAAGAAGACUGUCCUCAGCCAAUCAGAAAGCGGGUGGACCCUCAUCAGACACCAGAUGUGCCUGCACCUUGAUCUUGGACUUGCCAGCCUUCAGAACAGUAAGAAAGAAAUGUGUGUUGUUUAAGCCACCCAGUCUAUGGUAACUUGCUAUAGCAGCCCACUAGGAGACCCCAAGAUAUUUAAAAACUCAUCAGCACCUGCUUUCUGCAUCUGGACCCUGAUCUUCUGGUGGGUUUACCAGUUACUUGUAGAGUGUCCCUGUGAUAGUUUUAGGUGUCAACUUGACAUGAUUGAGGGAUGCCUAGAUGGCUGGGGAAGCACUGUUUCUGAAAAGGACCAUGUUUUUGGAGGAGACUGUUUUAUGAGUGAAUUUUGGGGGACACAUUCAGAUCAUGGCAGUGGCAUUAUAAAGAGAGACACAAAAGCUUGCUCUCUCUGCCAUGUGAGACUACCACACAAAGACUGCCAUCUGCAAACCAGAAGCAGGUGGGCUUUCCUCAGACACCAGAUCUGCCUGCACCUUGAUCUUGGACUUGCCAGCCUUCAGAACUCUAAGAAAGAAAUAGUAGCAUGGCUUGGUCUAAGUUGGAAGGCCUGAGAAACAAGCACAUGGUGGAACUGAGUUCAAGGAUAAAGACUUGAGAAUACCUGCUCAGUGGACUGAGUAGGGAAGAUCAACCCUCAAUGUAGGCAAGCACUAUCCAAUCACCUGAGGGCCCAGAUGGAACAAAAAGGUGGAAGAAGGGUGAAUUCUCUCUUCCAGAGCUGUGACACCCUUCUCCUCAUGCCCUUGUACCACACAACUCUAGGUCCUUUGGCCUUUGGACUCUGACACUUGCACCAGUGGCCCUCUGGGGCUCUCAAGCCUUUAGCCUUGAACUUAGUUACACCAUGUGCUUCCUUGUUUCUCAGGCCUUCCAACUUGGAUCAGGCCAUGCCACCAGCUUCUCUGAUUCUCCAGCUUGCAGAUGGCAUAUUGUGACCCUGGCAUUUAAUAACUAUGACUUUGGUCUUAAGCAGUUUUCUUCCUCUGUGGAUUGAUAUUUAGAUAUCAAGGUGGAUAAUAAUUUCUUACCAAGGUAACUGUUGUGAGGUAAAAAUGAGUUAACAUAAGUAAAACCGAGCACAUGCAAACCAUCCGAAAUGGUUAAUACUUACUAUUUGUACUUGAAGAAAUAAAUGUUUUUGACAAUAAACUUCUUGUGCAGUUUUCCUCA
Molecule: long non-coding RNA, 2748 nt
Organism: Pan troglodytes (chimpanzee)
Lineage: Eukaryota; Metazoa; Chordata; Mammalia; Primates; Hominidae
Exons: 4
Source: RefSeq, a predicted model, not a curated record